UGUUAAAAAAUUUAUCCAUUUGUACUGUUAAAAACUAGCGUGACUACAUGUACCUUAUGUUGAUAUAUAGAGACCAGUUUUUAACAGCAAAAAUGAAUGAAAUUUUUAACA
This is a microRNA precursor of Gossypium arboreum, 111 nucleotides long. It matches the Rfam family "MIR7502 microRNA precursor family". The record is from Rfam. NCBI's taxonomy places the organism in Eukaryota, Viridiplantae, Streptophyta, Magnoliopsida, Malvales, Malvaceae.